UACGGAGGGUGCAAGCGUUAUCCGGAUUCACUGGGUUUAAAGGGUGCGUAGGCGGGUUGGUAAGUCCGUGGUGAAAUCCCCAAGCUUAACUUGGGAACUGCCGUGGAUACUAUCAAUCUUGAAUAUCGUGGAGGUAAGCGGAAUAUGUCAUGUAGCGGUGAAAUGCUUAGAUACGACAUAGAACACCAAUUGCGUAGGCAGCUUACUACACGAUCAUUGACGCUGAGGCACGAAAGCGUGGGGAGCAAACAGG
Molecule: ribosomal RNA, 253 nt
Filed under: uncultured bacterium
Lineage: Bacteria
Description: partial 16S ribosomal RNA
Rfam family: Bacterial small subunit ribosomal RNA
Source: RNAcentral